CCUACGGGAGGCAGCAGUGAGGAAUAUUGGACAAUGGACGAGAGUCUGAACCAGCCAAGUAGCGUGAAGGAUGACUGCCCUAUGGGUUGUAAACAUCUUUUAUAUGGGAGUAAACCGUUCCACGAGUGGGAUUUUGUAUGUACCAUAUGAAUAAGGAUCGGCUAACUCCGUGCCAGCAGCCGCGGUAAUACGGAGGAUACGAGCGUUAUCCGGAUUUAUUGGGUUUAAAGGGAGCGUAGGUGGAUUGUUAAGUCAGUUGUGAAAGUUUGCGGCUCAACCGUAAAAUUGCAGUUGAAACUGGCAGGCUUGAGUACAGUAGAGGUGGGCGGAAUUCGUGGUGUAGCGGUGAAAUGCUUAGAUAUCACGAAGAACUCCGAUUGCGAAGGCAGUUCACUGGACUGAAACUGACACUGAGGCUCGAAAGUGUGGGUAUCAAACAGGAUUAGAUACCCCAGUAGUC
Molecule: ribosomal RNA, 460 nt
Filed under: uncultured bacterium
Lineage: Bacteria
Description: partial 16S ribosomal RNA
Rfam family: Bacterial small subunit ribosomal RNA
Source: RNAcentral